GGGGGUGCUCUGGUUUCGACAGGGUAGCUGAAGCGUAAGUUGCAUGCCGAGGGUCUGGUUGGCCUCGUAAAAAAACCGGAAAAACAUAAGUGCAAACGAAAACUACGCACUCGCAGCUUA
This 120-nucleotide transfer-messenger RNA is filed under the name Fibrobacter sp. RNAcentral's name for it is "partial transfer-messenger RNA". It matches the Rfam family "transfer-messenger RNA", at positions 1 to 127 of the family's 374-position model. Rfam says of the family: Bacterial tmRNA, also known as 10Sa RNA or SsrA, is named for its dual tRNA and mRNA-like properties. Its role is to liberate the mRNA from a stalled ribosome. To accomplish this part of the tmRNA is used as a reading frame that ends in a translation stop signal. The record is from RNAcentral. Lineage: Bacteria; Pseudomonadati; Fibrobacterota; Fibrobacteria; Fibrobacterales; Fibrobacteraceae.